This 266-nucleotide ribosomal RNA is filed under the name uncultured bacterium. Its description in RNAcentral is "partial 16S ribosomal RNA". It matches the Rfam family "Bacterial small subunit ribosomal RNA", at positions 524 to 787 of the family's 1533-position model. The record is from RNAcentral.
CACGUAGGGCGCGAGCGUUGUCCGGAAUUAUUGGGCGUAAAGAGCUCGUAGGCGGCCUGUUGCGUCCGCUGUGAAAGCCCGGGGCUUAACCCCGGGUCUGCAGUGGAUACGGGCAGGCUAGAGGUAGGUAGGGGAGAAUGGAAUUCCCGGUGUAGCGGUGAAAUGCGCAGAUAUCGGGAGGAACACCGGUGGCGAAGGCGGUUCUCUGGGCCUUACCUGACGCUGAGGAGCGAAAGCGUGGGGAGCGAACAGGAUUGAGAGUACCC